Molecule: ribosomal RNA, 504 nt
Filed under: uncultured bacterium
Lineage: Bacteria
Description: partial 16S ribosomal RNA
Rfam family: Bacterial small subunit ribosomal RNA
Source: RNAcentral
AUUGAACGCUGGCGGCAGGCCUAACACAUGCAAGUCGAACGGUAGCACAGAGAGCUUGCUCUCGGGUGACGAGUGGCGGACGGGUGAGUAACGUCUGGGAAACUGCCCGAUGGAGGGGGAUAACUACUGGAAACGGUAGCUAAUACCGCAUAACGUCGCAAGACCAAAGUGGGGGACCUUCGGGCCUCACACCAUCGGAUGUGCCAAGAUGGGAUUAGCUAGUAGGUGGGGUAAUGGCUCACCUAGGCGACGAUCCCUAGCUGGUCUGAGAGGAUGACCAGCCACACUGGAACUGAGACACGGUCCAGACUCCUACGGGAGGCAGCAGUGGGGAAUAUUGCACAAUGGGCGCAAGCCUGAUGCAGCCACGCCGCGUGUAUGAAGAAGGCCUUCGGGUUGUAAAGUACUUUCAGCGGGGAGGAAGGCGGUGAAGUUAAUAGCUUCACCGAUUGACGUUACCCGCAGAAGAAGCACCGGCUAACUCCGUGCCAGCCGCCGCCGUAA